This is a long non-coding RNA of Ictidomys tridecemlineatus (thirteen-lined ground squirrel), 1215 nucleotides long. RefSeq lists it as uncharacterized. The record is from RefSeq and is a predicted model, not a curated record. Lineage: Eukaryota; Metazoa; Chordata; Mammalia; Rodentia; Sciuridae.
AGCAGAAGCAGUGGCUUUAGAUAAAAAGGAAAAAACUCUGCUCUGCGAGGAGGCCCUCAGCUCUACACAGAACGAAAUGCCAGAAACAGAAGGAAUGGAACAAGAUGUCUCCAGGAGAGGGCUUGUGUUACUGGGAGAACGAGUGGAGUCAGUUGGAAGGAAGAAGGAUCAUGUCUUCAUGGAGGAUGAGUAGCUCCACUGGUUAUGCCAAAGCAAGCCUGGUGGGGAAUUCUCAGCAUUUCUCAGAUGCUUUGGAAGAUACAACUUAAAGGACUAAAGCCUCCUCUAUCAUAUCUGAGAGGUAUCUGAUGCAAGGCAGAUUGGGGGCAUUAAAAACAAGGGAGAAAGGGGGACAAAAGAUGACAGAAAAAGUGUGCACAAAGAAAAAGAAAAAAAAUAUAUUUGUAUGUUGGGAGACAGUGUUUUGGGCCUCAGCAAAACCUACACCAAGGAAUAUCCUGCUAAGGCUUAAUUAAGUUCUCUUAAUUAUGUCUAUUUUGCCACUAAGAAAGAAAGAACGAAACUGAAAAUGUGCAUUAGAUUAAAGUCAAGACUAUGAAAGUUAAGAACUUCAUUUAUUUAAUCCCAUUGACCUUUAGUUUCCUCACCCGUAAAAUGUAAAUAAUGAUACAAUUGUGUGGCUAUGCUGCAAAUAUAAAACAAAGCAAUGUGAACUGAGUUCAACAUAGUAUCUGGAUUAUCUCAAAAAAUACCUAUUUUAUUUUGCAGUUAUCUUCUGCUUGUCUCUAUAGUGAUAAAAAUGCCAAAAAAGGAAUUGAUAUGAAAAUAGUUCUGCAAAUUGGUUCAAAAGGCCAAUAGGAAGAGAACAAAAACAUGAAGUAGAGGAAGUAAGUUUUUGGUUACCACCAAAGCUUCAACAGGACCCAAGAUAUUCCUGUAUGAUAUGUUGGACCCCAGGCCACCAACCGAGUGCUCAGUUCAGAUCCCAAUUUCCCCAAGCUGUAGAACUUCCAUCCUCCAAGUGUAUCUUCCAGAGUCAUAUCAUCCUCAGGAAGUGAUUCCUAAUGUUUUUGAGAAUUGCCAACCAACUUGAAGUUCUAAUAAAAACUACAGAUCCUUUUCUCAUUUGUAGGCAUUCAGUCUUAUUUUGGGCAAAUAUUUGCUGAGCACCUAAUCUGUGCAAGGUACUGUGUUCAGUUCUAGAGACACAAAAUAAAAUUAUUUAAAAACAUCUCUUCUUGCUGUUACUGAGAC